This 476-nucleotide ribosomal RNA is filed under the name uncultured bacterium. Its description in RNAcentral is "SSU rRNA". It matches the Rfam family "Bacterial small subunit ribosomal RNA", at positions 26 to 518 of the family's 1533-position model. The record is from RNAcentral.
AGGAUGAACGCUGGCGGCGUGCCUAACACAUGCAAGUCGAACGUCCUGUCUCGCAAGAGGCAGGGAGUGGCGGACGGGUGAGUACCACGUGGGUCAUCUACCGUGAGGUGAGGAAUACCGGCGAGAAAUCGCCGACAAGACCGCAUAGCCUCGGUGCAAGUCGAGGAAAGCUCUCUCGAGAGAGGGAGCGCCACACGAGGAGCCUGCGCCCGAUUAGCUAGCUGGUGGAGUAAUGGUUCACCAGGGCGACGAUGGGUAGCUGGUCUGAGAGGACGACCAGCCACACUGGGACUGAGACACGGCCCCAGACUCCUACGGGAGGCAGCAGUGAGGAAUUUUCCGCAAUGGGCGAAAGCCUGACGGAGCGACGCCGCGUGCACGAGGAAGGCCUUCGGGUCGUAAAGUGCUGUCGAGGGGACGAGUUAUGACGGUACCCCUGGACGGAAGCCCCGGCUAACGUACGUGCCAGCAGCCGC